Molecule: ribosomal RNA, 274 nt
Filed under: uncultured bacterium
Lineage: Bacteria
Description: partial 16S ribosomal RNA
Rfam family: Bacterial small subunit ribosomal RNA
Source: RNAcentral
UACGGAGGGUGCGAGCGUUGUCCGGAAUCACUGGGCGUAAAGGGCGCGUAGGCGGCUCAUGAAGGCUGUGGUGAAAGUCCGGGGCUCAACCUCGGAUCGGCCGUGGCGACUCGUGGGCUGGAGCACUGUAGAGGCGGGUGGAAUUCCGGGUGUAGCGGUGGAAUGCGUAGAGAUCCGGAAGAACACCAGUGGCGAAGGCGGCCCGCUGGCAGUGGCUGACGCUGAAGCGCGACAGCGUGGGGAGCAAACGAGGACUUAGAAACCCCCAGAGUCA